UUCGAUUGUUGACUUUAUUCGAGAGGAAUCAAAACAAUGGAUCUUCACUUUGAAAAACAACAAGUUUAAUUUUAUUUGGUUUUUUUUGGUGGUGAAAUUUGUUGUCCCACCACUCAUUCUAGAAACAUAUGUGCCAUCUUGCACCUUCGAUAAUCUAAUAUUCUUGACCCUAUAGAUUUUCAUAAUUAUGGCAUGCAUACUGCUGCUUCUUCAUCUUUAUAUUCGUAAAAUUCUGGACAUCACAGUGUUCUAACUAAAUUAUUUCAAUAUCUUGCAAGAGAAUGCACAAACAUUUGCUGAAUAUUUAUCUUCGCAUCCACAAGUGAAGAAGGUCAAUUAUGCAGGUCUUGCUGACCAUCCAGGGAGGUCUUUGCACUUCUCUUAGUUUGCAGGCUAUGGGUGCAGGAUCAGUGCUGAGUUGUUCUAACAGGUUCUUUGGCACUGUUUAAGCAUGUUGCUGAGGCUACCAAGUACUUAAGCAUUACAGGCAGUUUGGUGUUUUGAACUAAAAAUGGCUUACGAAACCAAAGAGAAUGAUUAAGAAAUGGCUCCAAACAUUGAGGAAAAGUAUUGAUGA
Solanum stenotomum is the source of this 577-nucleotide long non-coding RNA. RefSeq lists it as uncharacterized. The transcript is spliced from 3 exons. Lineage: Eukaryota; Viridiplantae; Streptophyta; Magnoliopsida; Solanales; Solanaceae. The record is from RefSeq and is a predicted model, not a curated record.